CGGCAAUAGCCUAAAACUCAAAGGACUUGGCGGUGCUUUAUAUCCCUCUAGAGGAGCCUGUUCUAUAAUCGAUAAACCCCGAUAAACCUCACCAAUCCUUGCUAAUACAGCCUAUAUACCGCCAUCUUCAGCAAACCCUUAAAAGGARUAAAAGUAAGCAUAAUCACAACGCAUAAAAACGUUAGGUCAAGGUGUAGCCUAUGGAAUGGGAAGAAAUGGGCUACAUUUUCUAUCUCAAGAA
This 241-nucleotide ribosomal RNA is filed under the name Kobus ellipsiprymnus (waterbuck). Its description in RNAcentral is "partial 12S ribosomal RNA". Lineage: Eukaryota; Metazoa; Chordata; Mammalia; Artiodactyla; Bovidae. The record is from RNAcentral.